Molecule: ribosomal RNA, 235 nt
Filed under: uncultured bacterium
Lineage: Bacteria
Description: partial 16S ribosomal RNA
Rfam family: Bacterial small subunit ribosomal RNA
Source: RNAcentral
UGGGUGAUCUGCCCUUCUCAUCGGAAUAAGCGUUGGAAACGACGUCUAAUGCCGAAUACGACCUCCUUUCUCAUGAUCGGAGGUGGAAAGCUCCGGCGGAGAAGGAUGAGCUCGCGGCCUAUCAGCUAGUUGGUGUGGGUAAUGGCCCACCAAGGCGACGACGGGUAGCCGGCCUGAGAGGGUGGCCGGCCACACUGGGACUGAGACACGGCCCAGACUCCUACGGGAGGNAGCG